RNAcentral lists this long non-coding RNA (2078 nucleotides) under Homo sapiens (human). RNAcentral describes it as "HSALNT0030263". Lineage: Eukaryota; Metazoa; Chordata; Mammalia; Primates; Hominidae. The record is from RNAcentral.
CCUAUAGUAAUAAUAAAAAGCUUCAAAACAUGCUGAAAAUGUUUUAGAACAUGGUAGCUUCAAAGACGUUUGUUAAAAGGAUAGGCUGGUCUGCAUGGUGGCUGUUUUACUGCUUUUCUAAACUUGGGUGAACCCCUGGAGGAGAAGCCCCAAACAGGGUAGUUCCACCAGCCCAGGAUGCAGCAAGGUGGACAAAUCACAGGUCUGCUGGAGACAAGUGGUCAAGAGAGCAUGGGUCACUGCUGAGCAGAGCCGGGGUCAGGCAGGUUGAAGGAAAGGCACAAGCAAAGGACACCUCUCUGUCUGCCAUAAUGCCAAGGUCAUGCUUCUGCUGCCUGGAACUUACUUUCUGUCAGGCAGGAGAGACUCAUAUUUCUUCUCUUUAAGACAGGACGGGGGAGGAGCCAAGAUGACCGAAUAGGAACAGCUUCGGUCCACAGCUCCCAGCGUGAGCGAUGCAGAAGACGGGUGAUUUCUGCAUUUCCAACUGAGGGACAUGGAUGAAACUGGAAACCAUCAUUCUCAGCAAACUAUUGCAAGGACAGAAAACCGAACACCCCAUGUUCUCACUCAUAGGUGGGAAUUGAACAAUGAGAACACAUGGACACAGGAAGGGGAACAUCACACACCGGGGACUGUUGUGGGGUGUGGGGAGGGGGGAGGGAUAGCAUUAGGAUAUAUACCUAAUGCUAAGUGACGAGUUAAUGGGUACAGCACACCAACAUGGCACAUGUGUAUAUAUGUAACAAACCUGCAUGUUGUGCACAUGUACCCUAAAACUUAAAGUAUAAUAAUUAAAAAAAAAAAAAGACAGGACGAUAAUACACAUUUGGUGAUACAAUUAAGAAACAUGAUAUUGGAAAGUUGCUGACCAAGUGCCACCUAGCAUUCCUUCUCUUGUACUAGCCACAUGCCCACUCCUCAUGGCUACUGCUAGCCUCAUCUAAGAACUGGGGACCCAGCCUGGCAGGAUAAGUGUGGCUCCAUGCUUUAAGCCAGAGAAUUUAGGAGACUAUGAUCUGUUGCUGUGUCAAUCUGAAAGCUGAGGGAUCUGAAGGGUACGUGGUACCCAUUCUCUGACUCUCACUCCCAAAAGUCCUUUUCUCCCUGGGUCAACAUACGGUUGGUGCCCAAGGCCCUUCCUAGGAAUUGGAAGCCAACAGUGACACAAAGCACUUAGGAGGCACACAACCACAAAUGUGUGAGGUUUGCCUUCCCAUAUUUUCUGGACCCAUGUUCAAGCCUGGAACUCUCUAGUUCAUAAAGGGUUUUACUCUUGCAGGAGUCAGCAAACUAUGGCCUGUGGGUGGAGGGCCAGAUGGGGCCAUGCUCAUUCAUUUACAUACUGUCUAAUGGUUGCUCAAAAAUCACAGAGUUGAGUAACUAAGACAGACUGGAAGGCCCACACAGGCAAAAAAUGUACUAUCCGGACAUCCACAUAAACAGUUUGCAGGCCACUGAUUUAGAGUAAGACCAGUUCUCCUGGGGGCAAUGGAUUGUCUUUCUUUGCUUUCAGCCUGACCAAUGCCCGUGGGUAGGGAUGGAGAGGGAGCCCAUCUCUCUAGUUGAUUCUGAUGAGAAGAACCAGGGUGACCCACCUGGAAUGUGAGCCUCUGAUCUUCCAGGCAUCUGGCAUGCCCAUUUCUUCCACAGAGCAGGAUAGAAGCUCCUCCCAGCAGGGGGUCUUGACUAUUUGAGACCACUGUAAAAGAAAAGUAAGAACAAGUGAUUCACGUUUGUGUUUCCUGUAAAAAGAACAUGGUUGUCAGUGCUAUUAACCUGGUUACCACUGACUUUGACGCAGAUACAGCCGGUUCAUGUUUCAGAACUUCAUGAAACAGGCCUGUGCCUUCAAUCAGAGGCAGCCCAAAAGACAAAAUUGCCAACACUUUCUAUUUGCAGUGGCCCAGGAAUUAUCAAAUAACCUUAGUUCCUAUUAAACUCCUGCCUAUUUACCAUUGCCUAAACCUGGAGGCAAAAUCUAAAUCCAAACCAUCACAGGUAAUCUCCAAUCUCACAUACUUUUCCAAAAGAUUCAUGUGUUAGGAAAGGAUGAUUGAUGGCUCAAAAGUCACCAG